GGUUCCAUGUGAUGUCAUCAGUACCUCACAAACAGUUACUAGGAUAAAAGACCAGGAACCUCAACAGCCGUGCUCUGUGCGGGAGAGAUAGUGAGCGUGAGAGAGCAAGAGAGAGCAAGAGAGAGCGGGAGCAAGUGAGAGAGUGAGAGAGCGCCAGAGCCAGAGGCAGGGAGAGCGAGUGGGAGAGAGGUGGAAGGAGAAGGAGAGAAGGAGAGAGGUAGAAGGAGAAGGAGAGAAAGAGAGACAUGGAAGGAGAAGGAGAGAGGUGGAAAGAGAAGGAGAGACAUGGAAGGAGAAGGAGAGAAGGAGAGAGGUAGAAGGAGAAGGAGAGAAAGAGAGACAUGGAAGGAGAAGGAGAGAGGUGGAAAGAGAAGGAGAGACGUGGAAGGAGAAGGAGAGAAGUGGCAGGAGAAAGAGAGAGGUGGGAAGGAGAGGGACAGGGAGUAGGAUAGGCAAAGAGGGGAGAGUUCGAGUGGAGGGGAUUUUGGGAGAAAGGGAUAGGAAAGGCCAAGGAAUAGAGGGAUUGGGAAAGUGAGAAGGGCAAUAGAUUUAUAGAUAUAGAGGUAGAGAAGUUAAAUAGAGAACAUAGGGGUCAAUGUAGAUAACCUAGCGAUAGAGAGAGGAUAGAGAUAUAGAGAAGAUAUGUCAAGAUAGAUAGAUAUAGAGAAGAUAGAGGUAGAUAUAGAGAAGAUAGAGAUAUAUAGAGAAGAUAGAGAAAAGUUAUAGAAAAGAUAGAGACAGAUUUAGAGGAAGAAAGAAAUUAGCAAGAGACUAGUUGUAGAGAUAGAGAAGAUAGAAGAUAGAGACUGAGAAGAUAGAAAAAGAAAAAGUAGAAAUAGAAAAGAGUGUGAUAGAGACAGUGAGACAGAGAGGGCAAGGAGGGAAAGAGAGUGAGAGAGAGUGAGUGAGAGAGAGAGACUGUGUGUGUGUGUGUGUGUGUGUGUGUGUGUGUGUGUGUGUUCCAUAAGUUGUUUCUUCACCAACUAAGAGAUUGCUUUUCUCGUCUUCGAAAACUUCUGACAGACUUGGUCCAGGAGGAGCAAAAGAGCUUUUUACAGAAGCCAAAAUAACUGAUAUUCUGAGGUCCCCCUUAUCGUAUUGCUCCCUUUUCAAUGAGCAACAAUGUGUAAGUGCCGGAUCUGGAGGGCCAGAAGGGAAUCAUUCCUGCCAGGUCAACAACGCAGGAAAAGGACAUUAUGGACUCAUCUUGGGUGACAAAUUUAACUUUUGUGGCUCCUUUUAUGACAAUUGCAGUUCCGCUUAUUCUGGCGGAACCAUUCCCUCCUGUUUUCCCUGAGGGCCAUCAGAAAGCCACCCGGGCUUGUUCUGACAACACUGACAGUACUUCUCUGGAGAGGAUAUCAAAAGUCCUUUCUGACCUGGACACCAGAUCCAAGACAUACCCCGAGAUGAUCUUCGAACCCUCCUCCAAAUGGGACCAUGGAGAAGCUCCUAAAGCUGAAGAAGAAACCCCAGUCAUUGCCAUCUAAAGUGACCAUUGGUCGUCCAAAAAGGAGAUCCAAAGUAUAUCUGUCUCCUCCCACAUUAUGCAAGACAUGCCCUGAAACUAUCUUUGAACCCUCCUCCAAUUGGCCCCAAGGAGAAUAUCCUCAACCCCAAGAAGUGAUUCCAGUCUGUUCUCCCAAAUGCAGUGGUCCCUGGAAGAGGAGAGCCAAAGUCCAGCCAGCCUGGGACGCCCAUUCCAAACCCAUCUCUGAGGAUGCUUCCCAAGCACUUCUCCCAAAGCACCCAGGGAAAAGGUUGUGGAAAACAAAGUAUUUUGGGGUUUUUGCAAAAUUUUCUGUUCUGGAGGACUGUAGGGAGGUGUUGGAGCAUAGACUAUUUAAGUUCCCGCUCUCCCAAUUUCCUCCACAAAUAAAACAAAUUUUGUUUCUCAGGGUGAACAGACAUUUAAAGACUUGAGAUAGCACAGGCAUCCUCCAGACUGUGUUGAAUAAAGAGAAAAUGUGAAGAACUUA
Long non-coding RNA from Antechinus flavipes (yellow-footed antechinus), 1979 nucleotides. RefSeq lists it as uncharacterized. The transcript is spliced from 2 exons. Lineage: Eukaryota; Metazoa; Chordata; Mammalia; Dasyuromorphia; Dasyuridae. The record is from RefSeq and is a predicted model, not a curated record.